GGGCUGGUGGCGCAGCUCGGAAGCGCACCUCCUUGGCAACAGCAGCCAAAAUGGAGGGGGCCGGGGGUUCAAAUCCCCCCCAGUCCA
Molecule: non-coding RNA, 87 nt
Organism: Thermoplasmatales archaeon
Lineage: Archaea; Methanobacteriati; Thermoplasmatota; Thermoplasmata; Thermoplasmatales
Source: Rfam